GAACAUAAGGAGAGAAAAACAAAAGAAAAAGAGAGGGACAUGGACUAGGGCCACGACCAAGAGAAGAAGAAAGAAGAAGAAAACAUAAAGGAGGCUACGACCAUUAGAAGGGCGGGAAGAAAGGAGGAAAGCAAGCAAAGGAAGAAGCAAGGAGACCCUUCGGCUAUCCUAGGACGUGGGCCUGAAGAGGGAUACUAGCCUUGUUGAAUAGUCUCAGAUUGGUUAAAGACCCGGUUAGGAAAGCUAGGUGCACCAUCUUGGUAAGGUGUAGGUUGAGGUCAGCCCCCGCUAAUCGACCUGGUUGUAACUGAUGCCACUCCACCCAUUAAGUGAGCAUUAAUGGAAUCCUUGGGCUUGCAAGCUAGAGGAAGGGACGUAGGCAUAGUUGGCCGAACCCCGAUAACAUAUCGUGCGUGUUCUUUAUAUUUCUGUAAAUUUAUUUUUCGCACUUUUAUUUUCAGCACAUGUAUGCUGUAUGUUUGAUUCAUUAUAUGUAGUACAUGUGUUGAUUGGGUUUAUAAUUGCAUAGACAAA
This is a long non-coding RNA of Malania oleifera, 534 nucleotides long. RefSeq lists it as uncharacterized. The record is from RefSeq and is a predicted model, not a curated record. NCBI's taxonomy places the organism in Eukaryota, Viridiplantae, Streptophyta, Magnoliopsida, Santalales, Ximeniaceae. The transcript is spliced from 2 exons.